GACGAACGCUGGCGGCGUGCUUAACACAUGCAAGUCGAACGCUGAAGCUCAGCUUGCUGGGUGGAUGAGUGGCGAACGGGUGAGUAACACGUGAGUAACCUGCCCUCUUCUUUGGGAUAACGCCCGGAAACGGGUGCUAAUACUGGAUAUUCACUGAUUCUCGCAUGGGGGUUGGUGGAAAGGUUUUUUCUGGUGGGGGAUGGGCUCGCGGCCUAUCAGCUUGUUGGUGGGGUGAUGGCCUACCAAGGCUUUGACGGGUAGCCGGCCUGAGAGGGUGACCGGUGACAUUGGGACUGAGAUACGGCCCAGACUCCUACGGGAGGCAGCAGUGGGGGAUAUUGCACAAUGGGCGAAAGCCUGAUGCAGCGACGCCGCGUGAGGGAUGGAGGCCUUCGGGUUGUAAACCUCUUUCGCCCAUGGUCAAGCCGCAGCUUUGGGUUGUGGUGAGGGUAGUGGGUAAAGAAGCGCCGGCUAACUACGUG
RNAcentral lists this ribosomal RNA (482 nucleotides) under uncultured bacterium. Its description in RNAcentral is "partial 16S ribosomal RNA". It matches the Rfam family "Bacterial small subunit ribosomal RNA", at positions 28 to 507 of the family's 1533-position model. The record is from RNAcentral.